ACAGGGGAUUGCCUCAGUAACGGCGAGUGAAGCGGCAACAGCUCAAAUUUGAAAUCUGGUCCUUUCAGGGCCCGAGUUGUAAUUUGUAGAAGAUGCUUCGGGCGUGGCUCCGGUCUAAGUUCCCUGGAACGGGACGUCAUAGAGGGUGAGAAUCCCGUAUGUGACUGGCUGCCUCCGCCCAUGUGAAGCUCUUUCGACGAGUCGAGUUGUUUGGGAAUGCAGCUCAAAAUGGGUGGUAAAUUUCAUCUAAAGCUAAAUAUUGGCCAGAGACCGAUAGCGCACAAGUAGAGUGAUCGAAAGAUGAAAAGCACUUUGGAAAGAGAGUUAAACAGUACGUGAAAUUGUUGAAAGGGAAGCGCUUGCAAUCAGACUUGCGCGCGGUCGAUCAUCCGGGGUUCUCCCCGGUGCACUCGGCCGCGCUCAGGCCAGCAUCGGUUUCGGUGGUGGGAUAAAGGCCUUGGGAAUGUGGCUCCUCUCGGGGAGUGUUAUAGCCCUCGGUGCAAUGCCGCCUACCGGGACCGAGGACCGCGCUUCGGCUAGGAUGCUGGCGUAAUGGUUGCAAGCGACCCGUCUUGAAACACGGACCAAGGAGUUGAAGACUGCCGCGAGUGUUUGGGUGUCAAACCCAUACGCGUAAUGAAAGUGAACGGAGGUGAGAACCCUUAAGGGUGCAUCAUCGACCGAUCCUGAAGUCUUCGGAUGGAUUUGAGUAAGAGCGGUAUUCUUCUGACCCGAAAGAUGGUGAACUAUGCCUGAAUAGGGUGAAGCCAGAGGAAACUCUGGUGGAGGCUCGCAGCGGUUCUGACGUGCAAAUCGAUCGUCAAAUUUGGGUAUAGGGGCGAAAGACUAAUCGAACCAUUGAUCACUAGGUGGUUAAGAGGCCUCGCGAGAGCGCGGCCUAGUCCCGGGCCGGGGGCAACAUUAUCAAAUUGACGGGGACGUCCUGCUUUAAAUUCCACGCUACCGCAGCCGGUCCCGAAAGGGCGGCGCGCACCCGGGUAACGACCGCGGGGAUGGUUA
This 1020-nucleotide ribosomal RNA is filed under the name Calycina citrina. Its description in RNAcentral is "partial large subunit ribosomal RNA". It matches the Rfam family "Eukaryotic large subunit ribosomal RNA", at positions 67 to 1403 of the family's 3401-position model. The record is from RNAcentral. Lineage: Eukaryota; Fungi; Ascomycota; Leotiomycetes; Helotiales; Pezizellaceae.